GUAGGUGGCAAGCGUUGUCCGGAAUUAUUGGGCGUAAAGCGCGCGCAGGCGGUCCUUUAAGUCUGAUGUGAAAGCCCACGGCUCAACCGUGGAGGGUCAUUGGAAACUGGGGGACUUGAGUGCAGAAGAGGAAAGCGGAAUUCCACGUGUAGCGGUGAAAUGCGUAGAGAUGUGGAGGAACACCAGUGGCGAAGGCGGCUUUCUGGUCUGUAACUGACGCUGAGGCGCGAAAGCGUGGGGAGCAAACAGGAUUAGAUACCCUGGUAGUCCACGCCGUAAACGAUGAGUGCUAAGUGUUAGAGGGUUUCCGCCCUUUAGUGCUGCAGCUAACGCAUUAAGCACUCCGCCUGGGAGUACGGCCGCAAGGCUG
Molecule: ribosomal RNA, 370 nt
Filed under: uncultured organism
Description: partial 16S ribosomal RNA
Rfam family: Bacterial small subunit ribosomal RNA
Source: RNAcentral